RNAcentral lists this unclassified non-coding RNA (349 nucleotides) under Hevea brasiliensis (rubber tree). The record is from RNAcentral. Lineage: Eukaryota; Viridiplantae; Streptophyta; Magnoliopsida; Malpighiales; Euphorbiaceae.
AGGCAGCUUGAUGCAUUUUCAUUUUUAUACUGAGGACCAGUAGCCUGACCAUAUGAACCUGGUAUCUUUUUUAGGGUUGAUAACCUGAGUUUAAGAGUUGCAUUUUUGGAUAUCUGGUGAUCCUGUAUCAACNACUUAUUUUAUGGAUGUCUUGAUGCUUUUUCUAUAACAUCCUUUUUAGAUGAAAAAGCAAUCGAAACGUGAAUCUGCAGUCAACAAACUUUGAACAAUUUUCUGUUACUUCUUUAAGAUCUUCUUGAAGUGGGAUUUGAGUUGUGCUCUCUUGUAAUUCAUAAAUAAUGGAAUCUCAAUGAUCGAUCUAUGUGCACACAACAGUGCACAUAGAUCG